AGGCCGACAAAUCCUCCGUAUACAAAGAAAAUUUUUCUGUAUACGAAGCGAUAACUGUACCUGUAUCUGUAAUCAUACAAAACUACAACUAGUAGUAUAGAGCUGCUAAACUGAAAAAACAUAUAUAAAUAAUAUCAGGUUCCCUAUACAUACAUAGUCUCCGGAUACAUAACACUCGCUCCUCGUGAUGACUCCACUGCACUUUUACAUAAAGAAUGACCCGGUUGCGCAAUUCUUUCAUCUCCCGAGCAAAAAUUCGCACCGGUCGCUCCUCAUAUCUCAAGUCCUCGCCAAGCUCCAGCGGAGUGAAGUCGAUCAUGUGCGAAGGGUCAAACACGUAUCUC
Molecule: long non-coding RNA, 344 nt
Filed under: Ananas comosus (pineapple)
Lineage: Eukaryota; Viridiplantae; Streptophyta; Magnoliopsida; Poales; Bromeliaceae
Description: long non-coding RNA (ACOM_LNC007431)
Source: RNAcentral